ACAUACUAACUUCGGAACGGUCACAAAGAAAGAAUCAAAGAUGUUGUGCUUCAAAAAGUCAUUAAAAUUUUAACACUUAACCUCAGACAAAUUCAACUGGCUGGAUUCCAGAGGCCACGGUGGAAGCUGCACAAGUUUGACCCUGAAGAGAGUACCCCCUUCAGACAUCUCUUCCUACUCCUCCUCAAAGGAAGCCACAGAACUCUGAGGAUGCAUUUGCAUAAUUGCCUCCUGCACCCUUCAAGUGCAGAUACUGACAUCUUGAAUCCCUACAGUGCAGAAAGAAACCAUCCAGCCAAUGAGUUUGCACCGACACUCUGAAGAGCUCUGGUCCAGACCCAGCUUCUUACCCUAUCCCCGUAACCCCAACCAUGGCUAAUCCACCUAGAGUGCACAUCCCUGGACACAAUAUGGCCAAUCCACCUAACCUGCACAUCUUUGGACCA
Long non-coding RNA from Rhincodon typus (whale shark), 446 nucleotides. RefSeq lists it as uncharacterized. The transcript has 3 exons. The record is from RefSeq and is a predicted model, not a curated record. NCBI's taxonomy places the organism in Eukaryota, Metazoa, Chordata, Chondrichthyes, Orectolobiformes, Rhincodontidae.